GCACAAGCGGUGGAGCUAUGUUGGUUUAAUUCGAAGCAACGCGAAGACCUUACCAGGUCUUGACAUCCCGAUGCUAUUUCUAGAGAUAGAAAGUUACUUCGGUACAUCGGUGACAGGUGGUGCAUGGUUGUCGUCAGCUCGUGUCGUGAGAUGUUGGGUUAAGUCCCGCAACGAGCGCAACCCCUAUUGUUAGUUGCCAUCAUUCAGUUGGGCACUCUAGCGAGACUGCCGGUAAUAAACCGGAGGAAGUGGGGAUGACGUCAAAUCAUCAUGCCCCUUAUGACCUGGGCUACACACGUGCUACAAUGGUUGGUACAACGAGUUGCGAGUCGGUGACGGCGAGCUAAUCUCUUAAAGCCAAUCUCAGUUCGGAUUGUAGGCUGCAACUCGCCUACAUGAAGUCGGAAUCGCUAGUAAUCGCGGAUCAGCACGCCGCGGUGAAUACGUUCCCGGGCCUU
This 458-nucleotide ribosomal RNA is filed under the name uncultured Streptococcus sp. Its description in RNAcentral is "bacterial SSU rRNA". It matches the Rfam family "Bacterial small subunit ribosomal RNA", at positions 923 to 1382 of the family's 1533-position model. The record is from RNAcentral. Lineage: Bacteria; Bacillati; Bacillota; Bacilli; Lactobacillales; Streptococcaceae.